CCGUGCUUACCGAGGACAGCUUUGUUUUGCACCUACCAUCAAUUUAAAACUAAACUUGCUUUCUGUGUCAUAAGGAUAAACUUGUGCUGUAUGUCUUUAUCUUCUCAAACAUAGCUACAUUAAAUAAAUCUUCCUUCCUUGCUUUAUAGUCUCAAUUAUGCCUUUAAUUGCCAUAUUGAAGCCAGGUGGUCAUGCCUGAUCCAGUAGAGCUAUGGGAGGUCCAAUUUUGACCCCAACAUUUCCAGAGCUAUUAACUUUGGUUAAGAUAAGAGAAGAAGCAUUUGUUGGACAGUGUUUACGUUGCAAAGGAGUCCAAAUCUCUAAGCUUUAUAAAUACUCAUUUAGUAUUGGUGACAUUAAACAAACGGUUCUCUCUUCUCCCCCAGUAUUUCCAUGCUUUGAAUAUCAGUAGGAAGUGCUUGGUUCAAAUGCAGAAUGCAAGGUCAUCUUCCCCUUAUCACGAAUCACAAAUACCACCUACUGUGCUCAGUUUGAAGAUUAGAGCAACCUUAAAUAUCUUGCUCCCGCCAAUGCUCCUCCCUGCCAGCUUACAUUCAAGAGAGAACCAAGAAAGAAAGAAGAACCACCAGAACUGGCCACUGGGCACACAAGAGUCUCCAAGCAAUUACUAAAGAAUGGACAAAUUUCAGUUCCCAGAAGACCAGGAGCCAUGUGUGUUCUCUCUUCAUGGGUAGUUCAGAUAAACAAAUGUAAUGGUUCCAGAGCAAGGAUUUCACAAUGCUAACAACCGUGGACAUCAAAAAAGAACAGCAUUUAUGGUCGGCGACGUCUGGAACGGGAGUGUUAGCUCUUCCACAUCAUUUCCAGGUGGGCACGCUGUGCUCCAACGCACAAUCUCCCCCCAUUGCAUUCCCACUGGGUGUGCUGUGUUCCACUCAGGACCCGACUUUUAUUUAAAAAAAUAAAUAAAUAAAAAAGACCGUCUGCUUGAA
This is a long non-coding RNA of Rattus norvegicus (Norway rat), 953 nucleotides long. RefSeq lists it as uncharacterized. NCBI's taxonomy places the organism in Eukaryota, Metazoa, Chordata, Mammalia, Rodentia, Muridae. The record is from RefSeq and is a predicted model, not a curated record.